UUCCCAAAUACCAGAGGAAGCAGAGUGGUUUACAGUCCUGGACCUUCAGGAUGCCUUCUUCUGCAUCCCUGUACAUCCUGACUCUCAAUUCUUGUUUGCCUUUGAAGAUACUUCAAACCCAACAUCUCAACUCACCUGGACUAUUUUACCCCAAGGGUUCAGGGAUAGUCCCCAUCUAUUUGGCCAGGCAUUAGCCCAAGACUUGAGCCAAUCCUCAUACCUGGACACUUGUCCUUCGGUAGGUGGAUGAUUUACUUUUGGCCGCCCAUUCAGAAACCUUGUGCCAUCAAGCCACCCAAGCGCUCUUCAAUUUCCUCGCUACCUGUGGCUACAUGGUUUCCAAACCAAAGGCUCAACUCUGCUCACAGCAGGUUACUUAGGGCUAAAAUUAUCCAAAGGCACCAGGGCCCUCAGUGAGGAACACAUCCAGCCUAUACUGGCUUAUCCUCAUCCCAAAACCCUAAAGCAACUAAGGGGAUUCCUUGGCGUAAUAGGUUUCUGCCGAAAAUGGAUUCCCAGGUAUGGCGAAAUAGCCAGGUCAUUAAAUACACUAAUUAAGGAAACUCAGAAAGCCAAUACCCAUUUAGUAAGAUGGACAACUGAAGUAGAAGUGGCUUUCCAGGCCCUAACCCAAGCCCCAGUGUUAAGUUUGCCAACAGGGCAAGACUUUUCUUCAUAUGUCACAGAAAAAACAGGAAUAGCUCUAGGAGUCCUUACACAGAUCCGAGGGAUGAGCUUGCAACCUGUGGCAUACCUGACUAAGGAAAUUGAUGUAGUGGCAAAGGGUUGACCUCAUUGUUUACGGGUAGUGGUGGCAGUAGCAGUCUUAGUAUCUGAAGCAGUUAAAAUAAUACAGGGAAGAGAUCUUACUGUGUGGACAUCUCAUGAUGUGAAUGGCAUACUCACUGCUAAAGGAGACUUGUGGCUGUCAGACAACUGUUUACUUAAAUGUCAGGCUCUAUUACUUGAAGGGCCAGUGCUGCGACUGUGCACUUGUGCAACUCUUAACCCAGCCACAUUUCUUCCAGACAAUGAAGAAAAGAUAAAACAUAACUGUCAACAAGUAAUUUCUCAAACCUAUGCCACUCGAGGGGACCUUUUAGAGGUUCCUUUGACUGAUCCCGACCUCAACUUGUAUACUGAUGGAAGUUCCUUUGUAGAAAAAGGACUUCGAAAAGUGGGGUAUGCAGUGGUCAGUGAUAAUGGAAUACUUGAAAGUAAUCCCCUCACUCCAGGAACUAGUGCUCAGCUAGCAGAACUAAUAGCCCUCACUUGGGCACUAGAAUUAGGAGAAGAAAAAAGGGCAAAUAUAUAUACAGACUCUAAAUAUGCUUACCUAGUCCUCCAUGCCCAUGCAGCAAUAUGGAAAGAAAGGGAAUUCCUAACUUCUGAGAGAACACCUAUCAAACAUCAGGAAGCCAUUAGGAAAUUAUUAUUGGCUGUACAGAAACCUAAAGAGGUGGCAGUCUUACACUGCCGGGGUCAUCAGAAAGGAAAGGAAAGGGAAAUAGAAGAGAACUGCCAAGCAGAUAUUGAAGCCAAAAGAGCUGCAAGGCAGGACCCUCCAUUAGAAAUGCUUAUAAAACAACCCCUAGUAUAGGGUAAUCCCCUCCGGGAAACCAAGCCCCAGUACUCAGCAGGAGAAACAGAAUGGGGAACCUCACGAGGACAGUUUUCUCCCCUCGGGACGGCUAGCCACUGAAGAAGGGAAAAUACUUUUGCCUGCAACUAUCCAAUGGAAAUUACUUAAAACCCUUCAUCAAACCUUUCACUUAGGCAUCGAUAGCACCCAUCAGAUGGCCAAAUCAUUAUUUACUGGACCAGGCCUUUUCAAAACUAUCAAGCAGAUAGUCAGGGCCUGUGAAGUGUGCCAGAGAAAUAAUCCCCUGCCUUAUCGCCAAGCUCCUUCAGGAGAACAAAGAACAGGCCAUUACCCUGGAGAAGACUGGCAACUGAUUUUACCCACAAGCCCAAACCUCAGGGAUUUCAGUAUCUACUAGUCUGGGUAGAUACUUUCACGGGUUGGGCAGAGGCCUUCCCCUGUAGGACAGAAAAGGCCCAAGAGGUAAUAAAGGCACUAGUUCAUGAAAUAAUUCCCAGAUUCGGACUUCCCCGAGGCUUACAGAGUGACAAUAGCCCUGCUUUCCAGGCCACAGUAACCCAGGGAGUAUCCCAGGCGUUAGGUAUACGAUAUCACUUACACUGCGCCUGAAGGCCACAGUCCUCAGGGAAGGUCGAGAAAAUGAAUGAAACACUCAAAGGACAUCUAAAAAAGCAAACCCAGGAAACCCACCUCACAUGGCCUGCUCUGUUGCCUAUAGCCUUAAAAAGAAUCUGCAACUUUCCCCAAAAAGCAGGACUUAGCCCAUACGAAAUGCUGUAUGGAAGGCCCUUCAUAACCAAUGACCUUGUGCUUGACCCAAGACAGCCAACUUAGUUGCAGACAUCACCUCCUUAGCCAAAUAUCAACAAGUUCUUAAAACAUUACAAGGAACCUAUCCCUGAGAAGAGGGAAAAGAACUAUUCCACCCUUGUGACAUGGUAUUAGUCAAGUCCCUUCCCUCUAAUUCCCCAUCCCUAGAUACAUCCUGGGAAGGACCCUACCCAGUCAUUUUAUCUACCCCAACUGCGGUUAAAGUGGCUGGAGUGGAGUCUUGGAUACAUCACACUUGAGUCAAAUCCUGGAUACUGCCAAAGGAACCUGAAAAUCCAGGAGACAACGCUAGCUAUUCCUGUGAACCUCUAGAGGAUUUGCGCCUGCUCUUCAAACAACAACCAGGAGGAAAAAUCGAAGCUGUAAAACUACAAAUGGAGCCCAAGAUGCAGUCCAAGACUAAGAUCUACCGCAGACCCCUGGACCGGCCUGCUAGCCCACGAUCUGAUGUUAAUGACAUCAAAGGCACCCCUCCUGAGGAAAUCUCAGCUGCACAACCUCUACUACGCCCCAAUUCAGCAGGAAGCAGUUAGAGCGGUCGUCGGCCAACCUCCCCAACAGCACUUAGGUUUUCCUGUUGAGAUGGGGGACUGAGAGACAGGACUAGCUGGAUUUCCUAGGCUGACUAAGAAUCCCUAAGCCUAGCUGGGAAGGUGACCACAUCCACCUUUAAACACGGGGCUUGCAACUUAGCUCACACCUGACCAAUCAGAGAGCUCACUAAAAUGCUAAUUAGGCAAAGACAGGAGGUAAAGAAAUAGCCAAUCAUCUAUUGCCUGAGAGCACAGCAGGAGGGACAAUGAUCGGGAUAUAAACCCAAGUCUUCGAGCCGGCAACGGCAACCCCCUUUGGGUCCCCUCCCUUUGUAUGGGAGCUCUGUUUUCAUGCUAUUUCACUCUAUUAAAUCUUGCAACUGCA
RNAcentral lists this long non-coding RNA (3352 nucleotides) under Homo sapiens (human). Its description in RNAcentral is "non-protein coding lnc-ERVW-1-1:3". The record is from RNAcentral. Lineage: Eukaryota; Metazoa; Chordata; Mammalia; Primates; Hominidae.